RNA transcript from Prunus dulcis (almond), 2115 nucleotides. It is a transcript of the gene named spastin, with no coding region annotated. Lineage: Eukaryota; Viridiplantae; Streptophyta; Magnoliopsida; Rosales; Rosaceae. The record is from RefSeq and is a predicted model, not a curated record. The transcript has 14 exons.
AAAUGCUCAAUUUCUUCUAUGCGCUGGAGUCUGAAAAAGCUAAGCUCCAUAAAGAAUGACUUUCCCGGAAAGUUUACUCAAUUUCCCGGAAAUGGUAAGAAAACCCUCUUUCUCUCUCUAAGCUCUCUCUCCUCCUCGUCCUCAUCCCAAUAAUCGGCAUGCAUUUGUUCCAGACAUGAGUUUCCUCAAAGGGAUCAUCGAUUCUUUUGGUUCGGUCUUCUCCGCCGCUUCCGCCUCAUACGAGUCUCACCCAAACUCUGAUUCUCCUCCAAAUUCGUCAACCAUGGAAGGCAUAGCUGGACCUGGAGCUUCGGUCUCCAACGAGCGUGUUGCGUACAAGCUUAGGGGGUACUUCGAUUUAGCAAAGGAUGAGAUCGCCAAGGCUGUUAGGGCUGAAGAGUGGGGCUUAGUCGACGACGCCAUUGCUCACUAUAACAACGCCCAGAGAGUUCUCGUUGAAGCAACGUCCACUCCCGUGCCUUCCUAUAUCAGCCCCAGUGAGCGAGAGAAGGUCAAAUCUUAUCGCCAAAAAAUAUCAAAAUGGCAGGGUGAAGUUUCUGAAAGGUUACAGGCCUUGAGUAGGCGAGCAGGUGGCACGUCUGUUAGCAAAAGCACCUUAGCCCAUGCGCAGACUGCUGUAGUUAAACCAACGACAUCAAAUGCCAGAAAGCAUGUGUUACCCAAGUCUCCUCGUCCCACUACAAACAGACCCGAAAUGAGGAAUCAGAUUCAGACCAAUAAUAUUGUAAGCUCAAAACCUGUGCAAGAGACUGGUGGUGGUUAUGAUGCAAAAUUGGUGGAAAUGAUAAAUAGUGCUAUAGUGGAUAGAAGCCCUUCAGUUAAGUGGGAAGAUGUAGCCGGUCUUGAGAAGGUUAAGAAAACUUUGAUGGAGAUGGUUAUUUUACCAACUAAGAGAAGAGACUUGUUCACUGGUCUUCGAAGGCCAGCUAGAGGUCUGCUUUUGUUCGGUCCACCUGGGAAUGGGAAGACCAUGCUUGCUAAGGCAGUUGCAUCAGAGUCUGAGGCAACAUUUUUUAAUGUAUCUGCUUCUUCACUGACAUCAAAAUGGGUAGGAGAGGCUGAAAAGCUUGUGCGAACCCUUUUCUUGGUUGCUAUAUCCAGACAGCCAUCAGUAAUUUUCAUGGAUGAAAUUGAUAGUAUCAUGUCAACAAGGCUUGCAAAUGAAAAUGAUGCAAGCAGAAGGUUGAAGUCAGAGUUUUUAAUACAGUUUGAUGGGGUGACCUCUAAUCCUAAUGAUCUGGUAAUUGUGAUUGGUGCUACUAAUAAGCCACAAGAACUGGAUGACGCGGUUCUUAGAAGACUGGUGAAGAGAGUGUACAUACCUUUACCAGAUUUAACAGCAAGGAGACUGCUUCUAAGACACAAACUCAAGGGCCAAGCGUUUUCCUUACCAAGUGGAGAUCUUGAAAGACUUGCAAGAGAGACAGAAGGAUAUUCAGGAAGUGAUCUGCAAGCAUUGUGUGAAGAAGCUGCAAUGAUGCCUAUUAGGGAACUGGGUGAAAACAUUCUCACCAUCAAGGCAAAUCAGGUAAGACCACUUAGAUACGAAGAUUUUCAGAAGGCAAUGACUGUAAUCAGACCAAGCUUAAGCAAAAGCAAGUGGGAAGAGCUUGAACGGUGGAACGAGGACUUCGGCUCUAAUUGAAUGCCUAUUACAGCACUCUCUAUGAUUUUUACGAUCAAAGCAGCCUUAUUUAUAUGCCGCCACUGGUACAAAGAAUGAUGCUGAAAAAAGCCAGGAGGUGGGAUGUGAAAACCCAAAAGAAGGAAAAAGCAUCUCUAAUUGUGUACAUGGCACACACCUCGCCUCAAAUUGGUCUCUGCCUGCUCUUAAUUCUUUGUAUUCUUCUGUGUAAGGUGUAUAUAUAUAUAUAUAUUAUAAUCAUAGUUGGGUUUUCCACGCCGGAAGGCCAUUGUAGAUGCAUUGACAAAAUCUUUAAUGCACCAAGAAAUUGUAAAAUUUCCAAUAUUUUUAGCUCCGAGUGCCAAUGAAGAAGUUGAUAUUCAGAUGAUAAUUGCAAGCGAGCGAUCAUAUGAACUUUCAAUAAUGUUAAGAGUUACCAAAUUUGUUAUAAAUGGUGUAGCAUAUCGGAA